UGUACACGCUGUGACUAGCAUAUCAAUAAGCGGAGGAAAAGAAACUAACAAGGAUUCCCCUAGUAACGGCGAGUGAAGCGGGAAGAGCUCAAAUUUGAAAUCUUAAAGGGUUUCCCUUUACGAAUUGUAGUUUAAAGAAGUGUUUUCUGUUGAGGUUUUGGUAAAAGUUCUUUGGAAUAGGACAUCAUAGAGGGUGAGAAUCCCGUAUUUGACCUUUACUUUCAACUUUGUGAUACACUUUCAAAGAGUCGGAUUGUUUGGGAAUGCAGUCCAAAAUGGGUGGUAAAUUUCAUCUAAAGCUAAAUAUUGGCGAGAGACCGAUAGCGAACAAGUACCGUGAGGGAAAGAUGAAAAGAACUUUGAAAAGAGAGUUAAACAGUACGUGAAAUUGUCAAAAGGGAAGCGUUUGACACCAGUGUUGUUUUUCUGAAAAUCAAUUAAAGAACUGUUUAUGCUAAGUUGUUUAGACUUUAUCAGCUAACUGUUUAGUUUUGAGCUUUUCUUUAAUGCACUUUUCAGUUAACAAGUCAACAUCAAUUUCUUUUGCUGUAAAAAAGCUUGAGGAAGGUGGCUUGAGAUUCGUCUUAAGUGUUUAUAGCCUCUUGCCUAUGCAGUCGGAGAGAUUGAGGUCUGCAGCGUAGAUCCUUCGGGGCUAAAUGCAUUUGUGCUAAGUUAUAGCAUUUUAUAGACAACUUGUUGACUAUGAUUUGUCUUGUAGCUUACUCGCUUAUGUUAUUUUACCUACGCUUAGGAUGUUGAUAUGCAUGACUGAUAU
RNAcentral lists this ribosomal RNA (775 nucleotides) under uncultured Neocallimastigales. RNAcentral describes it as "partial large subunit ribosomal RNA". It matches the Rfam family "Eukaryotic large subunit ribosomal RNA", at positions 22 to 636 of the family's 3401-position model. Lineage: Eukaryota; Fungi; Neocallimastigomycota; Neocallimastigomycetes; Neocallimastigales. The record is from RNAcentral.